RNAcentral lists this ribosomal RNA (435 nucleotides) under uncultured Pantoea sp. RNAcentral's name for it is "bacterial SSU rRNA". It matches the Rfam family "Bacterial small subunit ribosomal RNA", at positions 958 to 1393 of the family's 1533-position model. Lineage: Bacteria; Pseudomonadati; Pseudomonadota; Gammaproteobacteria; Enterobacterales; Erwiniaceae. The record is from RNAcentral.
AACGCGAAGAACCUUACCUGGCCUUGACAUCCAGAGAACUUAGCAGAGAUGCUUUGGUGCCUUCGGGAACUCUGAGACAGGUGCUGCAUGGCUGUCGUCAGCUCGUGUUGUGAAAUGUUGGGUUAAGUCCCGCAACGAGCGCAACCCUUAUCCUUUGUUGCCAGCGGGUGAUGCCGGGAACUCAAAGGAGACUGCCGGUGAUAAACCGGAGGAAGGUGGGGAUGACGUCAAGUCAUCAUGGCCCUUACGGCCAGGGCUACACACGUGCUACAAUGGCGCAUACAAAGAGAAGCGACCUCGCGAGAGCAAGCGGACCUCAUAAAGUGCGUCGUAGUCCGGAUCGGAGUCUGCAACUCGACUCCGUGAAGUCGGAAUCGCUAGUAAUCGUAGAUCAGAAUGCUACGGUGAAUACGUUCCCGGGUCUUGUACACACGC